RNAcentral lists this ribosomal RNA (453 nucleotides) under Streptococcus mitis. RNAcentral's name for it is "bacterial SSU rRNA". It matches the Rfam family "Bacterial small subunit ribosomal RNA", at positions 28 to 468 of the family's 1533-position model. The record is from RNAcentral. Lineage: Bacteria; Bacillati; Bacillota; Bacilli; Lactobacillales; Streptococcaceae.
GACGAACGCUGGCGGCGUGCCUAAUACAUGCAAGUAGAACGCUGAAGGAGGAGCUUGCUCUUCUGGAUGAGUUGCGAACGGGUGAGUAACGCGUAGGUAACCUGCCUGGUAGCGGGGGAUAACUAUUGGAAACGAUAGCUAAUACCGCAUAAGAGUAGAUGUUGCAUGACAUUUGCUUAAAAGGUGCAAUUGCAUCACUACCAGAUGGACCUGCGUUGUAUUAGCUAGUUGGUGAGGUAACGGCUCACCAAGGCAACGAUACAUAGCCGACCUGAGAGGGUGAUCGGCCACACUGGGACUGAGACACGGCCCAGACUCCUACGGGAGGCAGCAGUAGGGAAUCUUCGGCAAUGGACGGAAGUCUGACCGAGCAACGCCGCGUGAGUGAAGAAGGUUUUCGGAUCGUAAAGCUCUGUUGUAAGAGAAGAACGAGUGUGAGAGGGAAAGUUCACA